GGAUGAAGAACGCAGCAAAAUGCGAUAAGUAAUGUGAAUUGCAGAAUUCAGUGAAUCAUCGAAUCUUUGAACGCACAUUGCGCCCGCUGGUAUUCCGGCGGGCAUGCCUGUUCGAGCGUCAUUUCAACCCUCAAGCCCCCGGGUUUGGUGUUGGGGAUCGGCUCUGCCCUUCUGGGCGGUGCCGCCCCCGAAAUACAUUGGCGGUCUCGCUGCAGCCUCCAUUGCGUAGUAGCUAACACCUCGCAACUGGAACGCGGCGCGGCCAUGCCGUAAAACCCCAACUUCUGAAUGUUGACCUCGGAUCAGGUAGGAAUACCCGCUGAACUUAAGCAUAUCAAUAAGCGGAGGA
This 349-nucleotide unclassified non-coding RNA is filed under the name soil metagenome. RNAcentral describes it as "partial contains 5.8S ribosomal RNA, internal transcribed spacer 2, and large subunit ribosomal RNA". The stretch from base 2 to 121 matches the Rfam family "5.8S ribosomal RNA", at positions 35 to 154 of the family's 154-position model. The record is from RNAcentral.